This 567-nucleotide ribosomal RNA is filed under the name uncultured archaeon. RNAcentral describes it as "bacterial SSU rRNA". It matches the Rfam family "Archaeal small subunit ribosomal RNA", at positions 326 to 897 of the family's 1478-position model. The record is from RNAcentral.
CGGGGUGCAGCAGGCGCGAAAACUUUACAAUGCUGGCAACAGCGAUAAGGGGACCUCGGGUGCCAGGAUACAAUCUUGGCUGUCGUGAUGCCUAAAAAGCAUUACAUAGCAAGGGCCGGGCAAGACCGGUGCCAGCCGCCGCGGUAACACCGGCGGCUCGAGUGGUAACCGCUAUUAUUGGGUCUAAAGGGUCUGUAGCCGGCCGGAUAAGUCUCUUGGGAAAUCCAGCAGCUCAACUGUUGGGCUUCCAGGGGAUACUGUUCGGCUCGAGGCCGGGAGAGGUGAGAGGUACUUCAGGGGUAGGGGUGAAAUCUUGUAAUCCUUGAAGGACCACCAGUGGCGAAGGCGUCUCACCAGAACGGUCCUGACGGCAAGGGACGAAAGCUAGGGGCACGAACCGGAUUAGAUACCCGGGUAGUCCUAGCCGUAAACGAUACUCGCUAGGUGUCAGCCACGGUGCGACCGUGGUUGGUGCCGUAGGGAAGCCGUGAAGCGAGCCACCUGGGAAGUACGGCCGCAAGGCUGAAACUUAAAGGAAUUGGCGGGGGAGCACAAGGGCGAUUCGCG